CGGCUGGAAUCUGAGCUCUCUGACCCCCACUCCUGCCCCUACAGCCACUUGGUCCCAUGGGGUGUGGCUGGACAGAAGCCAUCCUCUUCCUUCUGCUCUGUCCAACUGGCUUCUACCGGUAGGUGACAGGGCAGUGUUCCCAGCAGUGGGACAAGAGGCACUGGCACCAGGCCAUGAGCCAUGCAUUCCUAGCUCUGCAGGGCAUGCAUGCCACGCGGACUGUGACAGUGAGCUCUUCCAGGCCCCCAGUGAGCCUGAGAGGGGGUCUGGGAAGAGUCAAGAGACACCCAGACAGUGCCAUGUGGCAGUGAAGCCUCUGGUCCCAAUCUGCCAGGGUGCAAAGCCCCAGGACUGCUGGUGGGAUGUUGGCUACAACAGAAUGGCAGAGAGGAAAGGACCCUCCGGGAUCUUCCAGUUCAGCCAGCCCAUUUUACAGAGGUGGAGACUGAGGCCAGAGUGGAGUCACCGCUGGGCAUGGGGCCACCUAGCAAAGGACUGCAUCUCUCAGGCCUUCUCAUAGGUAGGUACAGUCACAUGGCUGGGCUCUUGCCAUUGCUAGAAAGUGGAAGUGAUGAGUCCAUGGCUCUGAAAACAGCAGGUGUACCUCUUCCACACUCUCUUCCCCUAUCCCUUCGGCUGAACCUGAAUGUUACAGUGGCUUCAACCGUGCAGAUGGUGACAAGGUCCUAGAGAUGGAAGAACCUGAAGACGGAAGAAACCUGGGUGCCUGAGUGACCAGGUGGAGCAGAGUGACUUUGCCAUGAAAAAGAAGUUGGGUUCCUCUCUUGUGACAGCAGCUCAGCCUUUUAUUGUGAACGGAAGAGCACCCCAUUUUCUGAGUUCCCUGAACCACGUCCAGACACUGCACCCCAACUCACUGGACUCUCCCACUAGAGAGCAACCUCUCAGCUGGCUCAGUUAUAAAAGCCCUGGAGACAAAAAUGUGCUUUGGAAUCAGACAUGGUUUCUCAUCCAGCUCUGCUCCUUCCUGGCUGUGCAACUUUGGACAAGUGACUUUACCUCUCUGAACUCCAUUCUCUCUUAUCCAAAAAAGGAUUCCAGCUAGCUCUGCCAUGAGGAUUCAAUGACAGGACGCAGGUAAAAGGCUCAGCACAGUGCUUGGCACAGAGUAAGGUCUUCGCAAAGGUCAGCUCCUUUUCCCUUCCCCCAUUCCCGGCAGCCUUCACUGCCGAGCCCCUGGCAGGCCUCCCAUCAGCCCCCACCAAACCGUGAUGCAGACUGAAGUUUUUCUUUCGAGUAAGUGACAGGUUCAGGGAGGUGGAACAGAACAAGUACUUAGAGUUCACAGCGCAGAAUUCUUUGAAAUCAUGUUCCCAAUGCUCCCUUCCUAGGGUCGGGGGAUUAGCCGGCUAUCCUGGGCUUGGCUCUAAAUGGUCUCACCAUGAAGGGAAUUUUCCUACAAUCUUAUCCUACCCACUGUCCCAGGGCUAAGAAGACAUGUGUCUUUCUCCUCUGUGGCAGCCUGUUGCUGUCAACCCCAUUCCAGGGCAAGGACUGUGGGAUGCAGGGAACAAAGAGUGGGGCUAGAGCUGGGGCUGGGGCGAGCGUGUUCUGUUUGGUGAUGAUUGGAAUGUUGUGAGUUAUGCAAUAGGAAUAUUAAUUCCUUCUAGUAGAGACCAUCAGGGCUGCGAGAGGCUGUUGGUGUGUAUCUGGUCCGGAUGCCUUCCUCCCGCCUCCCAUUUACUCAUGAAGAAAAGGAGGCCUGCGAGGGGACGAGACUUAUUUCCAGACCCACAUAGAGAAAGGGAGUGGCAGCAGCAGGCUGGGCUCCAGCGGGACACCGUGGAGGCCUGUCUCUGUGCACCAGCGCCCUUGUUAUGGUUCAGCGCUGAUGGCGAUGCAGAAGGGAGUGUUCGCCUCCAUGCUUUGUGUGUAUGAAAACCAGGAUCUAGAAAGUGUCCGAGGGACAUGCCUCCCACACUGACCUUCUGUGGCUGGGGUGGGCAAAGGAUUGGAGGGGAGCUGGGCUGCUAGAUUAUCAGAAGCUGGGAGACAGGCCCCAGGUAGGCAGAGGUUAGGAGCCGAGCCCCCAGGUAGGCAGGGACUAGAAGCAGGGUCCCCCAGGUAGGCAGAGGCUGAAAGCAGGGCCCCCAGAUAUGCAGAGGCUGGGAGCGGGCCCCCAGAUAUGCACAGGCUGGGAGCGGGGCCCCCAGGUAGGUAGAGGCUGGGAGUUCUCCAGCUCCCCACACUAUGGACUUGUGUGGUCUCGCCUCCACCACAGCCUGGCUCUGUUUUGUGAAUGUCUGUGCAGAGGUUGUGGCUUCCCAAUGGACAAUGUGGUUCCCAAUGAACCUUACACUGCCUGUCUCUCGACCUCCUUUAUGGCCUAGCUCCCUGAUCCUGCUGGUGGCAUUUGCUGAUCAAAAGCACAGAUGGUUUCCACCUCCCUGAUGCAAAAUCUUUCUUCAGCCAGACGGAAAUCAGACAGCCUCUGGUGUUGAAUCUCUGAUCUGCCACUUCACCAGCUGUGCCAUCUUGGACAAGAUAUUGAGCUCUCUGAGCCUAAAUGCUCAGAUGGGGUGAACAUGAGUGGGCUUCCCUCGGGGCUGGGUGAUAGGAUGGCGUGAGACUCGCUGGGUAAAACACACAGGGAGUAUUUUACCUCACUGACUUCCUCCUUUCCCUCUGCCCAGGGAAGCCUCUCAGUCCCAGGGGGCACAUUCCGUGUUGGUCAGGGCCCAGACCUUCUCCCUCAGCCUCCACUUUCCAUCCUCACCCACAUCCUGUCUCACUUCACAGGAGUGCUCAUGCUGUGGGUUCCGUCCAGAAUGUGGUCCAACAAAUCCAUCACACGCAGAUGAGAGUAGCAGCCCCAGCCCCAGGCUUGGAAAAGGUUUCCAGAGAUUGCCAACUGUCCCCUGCGGGUGAAAUUGCUGCUGUACAGGAAUCACAAAGAACUCAGACACGGAGAUCCUCCUGGAGCUAAUGGUCCACGGGGGCCCCUUCUUUGUGGACACAGACACCUCGGUACACACACCCGGAGGACCCAGGAGGGCCAGGCUGAAGGAGGGCAUCACCUUCCAUCUGGGGGACUUAUCCCCCUCUCCCCACACUUACACUUGAAGGUGGACUCAGUGCUGACCCUCAGGGCCAGGGCACACGGCAGGUGCAUUUUGGGAGGGAAAGGCCAGCUUUGGUCUGGAAAGGGGCACACCUCCUCUUGGAAAUACAAAAAAUACACAUGGGCAAGGACACGGCUUUGUAACAAACCCACUUUUAUUGAUAGUGUACACGGAGAUCCAUGGUGGCGGGGCUGUGCCUGGGUGA
This 3288-nucleotide long non-coding RNA is filed under the name Homo sapiens (human). RNAcentral's name for it is "HSALNT0277405". The record is from RNAcentral. Lineage: Eukaryota; Metazoa; Chordata; Mammalia; Primates; Hominidae.